AUUGAACGCUGGCGGCAGGCCUAACACAUGCAAGUCGAGCGGAUGAAGGGAGCUUGCUCCUGGAUUCAGCGGCGGACGGGUGAGUAAUGCCUAGGAAUCUGCCUGGUAGUGGGUGAUAACGUCCGGAAACGGGCGCUAAUACCGCAUACGUCCUGAGGGAGAAAGUGGGGGAUCUUCGGACCUCACGCUCUCAGAUGAGCCUAGGUCGGAUUAGCUAGUUGGUGGGGUAAAGGCCUACCAAGGCGACGAUCCGUAACUGGUCUGAGAGGAUGAUCAGUCACACUGGAACUGAGACACGGUCCAGACUCCUACGGGAGGCAGCAGUGGGGAAUAUUGGACAAUGGGCGAAAGCCUGAUCCAGCCAUGCCGCGUGUGUGAAGAAGGUCUUCGGAUUGUAAAGCACUUUAAGUUGGGAGGAAGGGCAGUAAGUUAAUACCUUGCUGUUUUGACGUUACCAACAGAAUAAGCACCGGCUAACUUCGUG
This 484-nucleotide ribosomal RNA is filed under the name uncultured bacterium. RNAcentral's name for it is "partial 16S ribosomal RNA". It matches the Rfam family "Bacterial small subunit ribosomal RNA", at positions 30 to 507 of the family's 1533-position model. The record is from RNAcentral.